This 185-nucleotide ribosomal RNA is filed under the name Pseudomonas aeruginosa. RNAcentral's name for it is "partial 16S ribosomal RNA". It matches the Rfam family "Bacterial small subunit ribosomal RNA", at positions 1 to 181 of the family's 1533-position model. The record is from RNAcentral. Lineage: Bacteria; Pseudomonadati; Pseudomonadota; Gammaproteobacteria; Pseudomonadales; Pseudomonadaceae. RNAcentral also lists the same sequence under 2 other names.
AAAUUGAAGAGUUUGAUCAUGGCUCAGAUUGAACGCUGGCGGCAGGCCUAACACAUGCAAGUCGAGCGGUAGCACAGAGAGCUUGCUCUCGGGUGACGAGCGGCGGACGGGUGAGUAAUGUCUGGGAAACUGCCUGAUGGAGGGGGAUAACUACUGGAAACGGUAGCUAAUACCGCAUAAUGUCG